AGGGUCUGAACCUGCAACACACUACUGGCUUCCCCAGCUCCAACGUUCUAACCUGUUAACCAGCCUUGUUGAAGGGUCAAUGGAAGGUGGUUUCCUUCACACCAAGCAGCAGGAUGUAAAUGUUUGUUUAAGCAGCUGAGACUUGGCCCUGCUUAAUGCCACAGAUCACAUGAGAUGAGUUCAUUCAGAGUGUGGGGAUCGCGGUGAGGGUUAGAGUCAUGACAUGAAGUUUAGAGAUGUGGGAGUUUUGGAGGAACUAAAAACAGACGCACUCGUGACUGAAGAGAACGGUGAAAAUAUGAACGAGGGAACAAAAACGCCCAGAAUUCAAGACACUUAGAAGCUCCUUAAAGACAGAAACCUCAUCGUAUCUGCUGUGGGGGGAAGCUGGUUUGUGACUGAAUUAAUCAUGAAG
This 415-nucleotide long non-coding RNA is filed under the name Rattus norvegicus (Norway rat). Its description in RNAcentral is "long non-coding RNA NONRATT031341". Lineage: Eukaryota; Metazoa; Chordata; Mammalia; Rodentia; Muridae. The record is from RNAcentral.